UGGCACAGGGACGGGGCCUGGACACUUGUCACCAUGGGGUCUGUGGGAUGGGGCCUGGACACCUGUCACCAUGGGCAUCUGUAGGAUGGAGCCUGGACACCUGUCACCGUGGGGUCUGUAGGACGGGGCCUGGACACCUGUCACUGUGGGGUCUGUAGGACAGGGACGGGCACGGGGCCUGGACUAAACCAAUCAUGGGAUUCAGCUGCACAGGGUUUGCCGGUCUGCACAUUUCCCCACCAUUUUUUAGGGCCUUAGUCUAAGAAUGGCAGCUUUGCUGCCCACUUGCCCUUCAGUGGUCACGUGAAGCCUCUCUCCUGGUAUCUGCUUCUUCAUUUCAUCGUCUGUUAACACAGGCAUGUUCCUCUCCUGGAGACGUGUGCAGGGCUUGGAUUCUACUUCAGACCACGAUACUAAUGUAAUAACAGCAAUCAUGUCGAAUGCCCCGUGCUUCCCUGGAUCUGGGUGCCCAUCGCAGUCUGUCAGGCUCUUCCUGAACUAGUUUCAUCGUGGACCUUCCAGGGUCUGCAGACACCUCAUCCUUCAGCAGCGUGACGGCCGCCCUCUACGCCUUGGAAACAGAUGAACAAGAUGUUAUGAGUUCUGUGUCGUGCAACCAGGAGACGGUGGUGUAAAAGGACAGGAGACCAGGAUGUGUACGUUUGAGGUCCUCACCUCCUCGCCUGCAUCCUGCUGUGGUUGGCAGAGCUGAGACCGCAGCGUCUGGGACUGUUCAUGUGGUGGCCUGAGAGGAACAAACCAGGGCCCCUUCUGCAGGUGCGCAGACUCUGCAGGACGUCCACUCGGAUAAGAAACAUCCUGACACCCUUCCCGGGAGAACCAUAGGGUGACAAGGAGGCUCCUGGGGACCAUGGACCAGCACGAGGAAGAGAGCUGCCAGAGGGUCAGAGAUUCCUGUCCCCCUUCAUCACAGUUGCAGGGGAGGUGAUGAUUACGGUGUGAAGCCACAAGACGAUUUGUGGGUCCUGGUGGCCCGUGGCUCAGAUCACUGUGUGAAGAUGAGGGCGCGUGGUCCCAGUGGAAGACCCUGCUUAUUCAAACAGCUCACUAUUCUGUCGUGUAUAAGAGUGUCCUGGGCGGCUGUAACACAGGACCACAAACUGGGAGUCUGAAAAGAACAGACAUUCAUCCAGCCCCCGGUCCUGGAGACCAGAUGUCUGAGGUCAAGGUGUCCCAGAGCUGUGCUCCCUCCAGAGGCUCCAGGGGAGGGUCCUUCCCGCCUCUUCCAGCUUCUGGGGGCUCCAGGCGUCCCUGGGCUUGUGGCUGCAUCCCUCCCGUCUCUGCCUCUGUCUUCCCGGGGCUUCUCCUCUGUGUCUGGGUCUCCCCUCUUCUGUGUCUUAUAAGGACCCUGUCACUGGAUGUAGGGCCACCCUCCUCCAGGAGGACCUCAUCUCAGACCCUUCACUUCCAUCCGGAUAAUCAAGAAUGAUCUCUUCAUCUCAAGAUCCUUCAUUAGUUACAUCUGUCAAGAGCCUUUUGCUGACAGUCAUAUCCACAGGUAACAGGGUUUAGGACGUGGUCAUAUCUUUUUGGUAGAAAAUAUUCAAUCCACUGCAUGGUACAUGAACUGGAUACUUGGAAACUCAGGAAACAUCCAUUCCUUUUCUGGUGAACUGGAAAACCACGGAGGUCACGGCUUCUUCUAUAUGUACCCAAGGCCGCUUUCCUGGGCGAGUGACCCAUGUCACUACACGGGACCCUGGGCUCAUAAGGACGCCUAUUGGCUUAAUGCCCUAUGACCGCCAUCUUGAAAUUCUUAACGAAGCGUGAGCAAGGACCCACAUUUUCAUUUUGCCCUGGAACUGCAAAUGCGAUAGCCCUCUCUGCUCACGUUCCUUCCAACCUCAAGAAAGAGGAGCAAGUCUGCACCCAAUAAGGACCCCCCACCCCCAGCACACCCUCCAUCCAGCCACUGAUGUGCUCAAACCUACCUUUCAUGGGUGGUGAAGACCUCUCCCCGAGAUCCAGUAAGGCUAGUGGGUUUUGGCUGCACACUGGGGGGGCCUCUGAAAACCACUAAUGCUCACCUCCACCAUCAACAGAAUCCCCAAGUUCGUUCCUCUGGGCACCGGCAUUCAUUAGACCUCCUCAAGCCAUCCUCUUGUUCAGGCAAGGUUGAGACCCUCUGGGCCAGGCAAAUGCAGAUUGAAGCUUCCAGCCCUGGGCGCCAGCCCCUCCCAGAACUGCUCAGAUGUUCUGCUAAGCCCUACAGCCCCGACUGAUGUGUUUCAGAACUAGAAUUACUUUGUAUGUUCAAACCAAGAUGGAGACAUGCCUUGUCUAAUAUUUCCGGACAGCCAGGAUAAUGUACUACAAAGCAGGAUCUUGACUUCCAGGAGGAUCCCAACCUUGGAGCAUUUGCACAUCACUAGAGAGCUUUACGGCUUGAGGUCAUAGUACCCAAGUGCCAGCUACUCUUAGCGGCAUCACAAAGUUGGUUCCCAAGUACAGACUCAGGAUGAGGAUGCAGGAAGAGUCCUGGCCAGUCCGACAUCCUCUGUCACUUUGAGAACAAGCUUGCUGGCCCCUGAAGGAUGCUGCAGUCCCUGGGCGAAGAUAGGCUCUGAGAGCAAUUUGGACUGUGUAGGACCCUGGCCUCUCAGGGCUCCUCCUCUUUGCAUGACCGGCCUUAUGUCGCUCGUCCACCAGGGGAGAGAGAGGACACAGUUCUGGAGAAGUUACCAUGUUCCCUCGACACCUGAUUGUGGAACAUUCCUCAGAGCUCAGAGACACUUCCCAGCAGCUGGAGAAGUCUCGUGGACCACUGGAAACUCAAGAGAGUCGUUCGACUUUCUGGAAGACCCUAUUGAAUACGCAGAAAAUGGAAGUGGGAUGGUCCAAAUCCACAGAGACGAACUCCCGUGCCAUCUGUAGAAUUGUUGACUCCGUCCCUGGUGAGUGCCCUUGUGCGUGUCAGUAAACGGUGUGUGUAUUCCUGAGCUGCUUAGAGCAAAAUAUGAUUCUUAACCCUGACCUUGACCUACAGGUGUUGAGGGGAUGAGGUAGGUAAUCCCCUGCCGUAUUAAUCAUGGUGACCAUCCUCUGCAGUGGCUCUUCCGAGACAGAGAUUCAACUUAGAAUUUCCCUGUGACAUACUUUCUUGGGUCCAACUGGGACUCAGAACCAGGAGGGGGGGUACCAUACGGCAGGGCCCCCUGAGGCCCAUUUGGGUCUGAGUCAUAGCUGGGUCAAGAGCAAUUCAGCCAGUCCGUGGAGUCUUUGCUGCACGUGAAUUAUAUGUGAGAGUCAGGCACGAAAUGAGAACAGAAUGCAGUCAAAUACUCGACCACGAUAUCUAGGAUUUAAGCCCUGCUCAGGGCGCAGGGCAUGUCUUAACUUGCAGCACCUUCACUACGGCCCUUGAAGGAAGACAUCCUCUGGCCGAUGUUUAUAAAUGAGAAAGCUGAGGCACAACGCUUGAGUCAGUGUCAAGGUCACACAGUUUGUAAACGUGGAAGAGUCGGGAUGCUAAUUCAGACAGUAUCAGGCGCAGGAAAAGGAAAUGACUUGUAUCUAAGUGUUGGGGCCGAUGGUUAAUUUCCAAACGUGGUCACCAUCUAUUGGAAAACCCCUAAGGUCUAGCAUUUGAGAGAUGGAGGGCAGAAAUUCCUUCCAGGGAAGAAAUACCCAGACCCCCUGGUGGAGAGUCAUCUGGGUUCUGCUGGGAAGUGCCCAGGGAAGUGGUCGCAGAACGCUGUGUAGCAGCCAGGUUCUCACCUCCCUGGUAUCUGACUUGAGGGUCUUCCACCGGGAAGCAGUAGGAGCUCCUCUUAAUAGCAGAAGCUAUGUCAGUAGUCGUUGUAGUGACAAAAAUUGUCUCCUCAACCAGACACUAUCAGGCUCCCCUAAAUUCUUCAGUGAGGUCUGAGUUUUGGACUUUUGUGUACAUUUCUGCAUUGUCCAAUUUUAGCAAGAGCCACGCUUAGUCGGUUUAACCAGAACCCACCCCCUUCGUAUCUGGUCAUCUCCAUGUCUGGUCAACUUCGUAUCUGCUCAUCUCAGUAUCUGAUUAGGUUCCUCAUCCUGCACGCCCCACCCCCCAGGUGACAUCUAGUCACCCUUCCCUGUCUUCAGCAGGAAUCCUGUGGGGUCAGUUUAGCCAGAAUGCCCUCACCCCUAAUUUUCCUGUUAGUAGUUUUCCAUCCACUGACCCUCCCCUGCUCCGUGGCUAUAAAUCCCCACUUGCCCGUGCUGCCUUUGCAGUUGAGUCUGGCUCUAUACUGAGCUCUCUUUGCUCUAUUGCAAUAGUCCUGAAUCAAGUCUGUUUUUACCACUUUUUCUGUCCUGCUCUGGUUUUUCUUUAACAGUAAUAGUAAUAAUAGCAGUAGUAGUUGUUGUUGUAACAAUGAUUGGAGUAGGAGUAGCAGUCAUAGUAGCAUUAGUAACAAUCGUGGCAAUAGUUGUUGUAUUAAUAGUAACAAUCCUUGUAGUAGUUGUUAUCCUAGCAGUAGUAACAAGAGUGGCAGUAGUUGUAGUAGCAAAUUGUAGUAGCCGUAGUAACAAUAGGGGCAAUAAUUAUUGUAGUAGCAAUAGUUGUAGUCAUUGUAGUAGCAAUGCUAGUUAUAGUAGUAUCGAUAGUUGUUACAGAAGUUGUAGUUGCGAUACUUGUAAAAAUAGUUGUAGUAGUAUUUGAAGUAGUGCCUAUAGUUGUAGGAAGAGGAGGAGAAAUAAUUACAGAAGCAGUUUAGCAGUAGUAAUAGCACUAGGUCUAGCAGUAAUCAUUGUCCUAGAACUAGUUGUUGUAGUAAUUGUAGUUGUAGCCACAGCAACAAUUGUAAUAGUAUAACAGUGGUACUGGUAAUUGUUAUAAUUGUAGUAGUAAAUGUAAUCGUUGUAGUAGUCAUUGUAGUACCACUCAUUGUUGUAAUAAUUGUCAUUGUGGCACUAGUAAUAAUUAUAGUAGUGUCUGUCAUAGUCGUAUUGUAGUAAUUGUUAAAAUUGUACUCAUAGACAUAAUAGCUGUAGUGAUGGUUGUAGUAGCAUAAGUGUAAUCACUGUAGUUGGGGCGGUAGGAAUAAUUGUAGUAGUGGUGGUAAUAACAGUAGUUUUUGUAGCACGAGCAACUGUUGUAGUUGUGGUAGUAAUAGGAGUUGUGAUACUAAUAGUUGUAGCCGUCACUGUAGCUGUAGCAAUAAUUGUAGUAGUUGUGAUAGGAACAGUAGUAGCUGUCGUAGUCCUGGUAGUACCAUUUGCUGUCACAGCAGUAGCUGUAGCCACAGCAAUAAUGGUACUAGUGGUCGUCGUCAGAAUUGCUGUGCUUGUAAUAAUAGUAGCAGUUGUAGUGGUGCUGAUUGCUGUAGUCACUGUUGCAGUAGUCACAACUGUAGCAGCAGUGGUAGUAGUCGUUGUGGUAGUAGUAAGUGUUACAGUUGUGAGAGUAACCCUAAGAGUUGUAGUAGUAAUUAUACCAGUACUAAUGGCUGUAAUAGUUAUAGCACUGGUAAUAAUUAUAGUAGUGUUUGUAAUCAUAGUAGUUGUAGUAAUUGUUGUAACUGCAGCAGUAAAUGUAAUAGUUGUAGUGGUGGUUGUAGGAGAGGUACCUUUUAUAGCAGUAGCAACUGUUGUAGUUGUAGUAAUACGAGUUGUCACAGUAAGAGUUGUAGCAGUACUAAUUGUAAUAGCGGUGGGUGUAGCAGUAGCAAAAAUGAUAGUAGCCGUGACAGUAGUAGCGACUACAGUAGUGGCAGUCAUUGUUGGAGUCACUGGAAUUGCUGUACUUGUAAGAAUAAUAACAGUAGCAGUUGUAGUACACAUUGCUGUAGUCAUAGUGGUAGGAACUUUUGCAGCAGCAGCAGUAGUAGUUGUAGCAGUAAAUAGUACAGUUGUAGUAGCAAACCUCAUGGUUGGGGUAGUAGUUACAGUGCUAAUUGCUGCAGUCAUUGUAGCAGUAGUCAAUCGUAGCAGCAGUAAUGGUAGUAGUCGUUGUCGUAGUGGUAAAUGCUACAGU
Long non-coding RNA from Orcinus orca (killer whale), 5968 nucleotides. RefSeq lists it as uncharacterized. NCBI's taxonomy places the organism in Eukaryota, Metazoa, Chordata, Mammalia, Artiodactyla, Delphinidae. The record is from RefSeq and is a predicted model, not a curated record. The transcript has 3 exons.